This 498-nucleotide ribosomal RNA is filed under the name uncultured bacterium. RNAcentral's name for it is "partial 16S ribosomal RNA". It matches the Rfam family "Bacterial small subunit ribosomal RNA", at positions 28 to 523 of the family's 1533-position model. The record is from RNAcentral.
GACGAACGCUGGCGGCGCGCCUAACACAUGUAAGUCGAGCGGAGAUACUUGAAGGCAGUUUUCGGAUGGAAUUUGAGUACUUUAGCGGCGGACGGGGGAGUAACGCGUGAGUGACCUGCCUUCCACAGGGGGAUAACGUACCGAAAGGUACACUAAUCCCGCCUGAUACCACAGCACUGCCUGGGUCAGGGGCCAACGCAGCAAUCCGGUGGAAGAUGGACUCGCGUCCGAUUAGAUAGUUGGUGGGGGAACGGCCUACCAAGCCAGCGAUCGGUAGCCGACCGGAGAGGGUGAUCGGCCACAGUGGAACUGAGAGACGGUCCAAACACCUACGGGAGGCAGCAGUGGGGAAUAUUGGGCAAUGGGGGAAACCCUGAGCCAGCGACGCCGCGUGAGGGAAGAAGGUUGUCGGAUUGGAAACCUCUGUACUUGGUGAAGAGGGAAAGACGGUAGCCAAGGAGGAAGCCCCGGCUAACUACGUGCCAGCCGCCGCUGUAA